RNAcentral lists this ribosomal RNA (440 nucleotides) under uncultured bacterium. RNAcentral's name for it is "bacterial SSU rRNA". It matches the Rfam family "Bacterial small subunit ribosomal RNA", at positions 338 to 795 of the family's 1533-position model. The record is from RNAcentral.
CCUACGGGAGGCUGCAGUGGGGAAUAUUGCACAAUGGGGGAAACCCUGAUGCAGCAACGCCGCGUGAGCGAUGAAGGCCUUCGGGUCGUAAAGCUCUGUCCUAAGGGAAGAAUACUGACGGUACCUUAGGAGGAAGCCCCGGCUAACUACGUGCCAGCAGCCGCGGUAAUACGUAGGGGGGUAGCGUUAUCCGGGAUUACUGGGCGUAAAGGGUGCGUAGGCGGCCCUUCAAGUCAGAGGUGAAAGGCUAUGAGCUAACCGUAGGAGGCCUUUGAAAAUUUAGCGGUUGAGUGCAGGAGAGGCGGGUGGAAUUCCCAGUGUAGCGGUGAAAUGCGUAGAUAUUGGGAGGAACACCAGUUGGGAAGGCGGCUCUCUGGACUGUAACUGACGCUGAGGCACGAAAGCGUGGGGAGCGAACAGGAUUAGAUACCCUAGUAGUC